RNAcentral lists this ribosomal RNA (336 nucleotides) under uncultured bacterium. RNAcentral's name for it is "bacterial SSU rRNA". It matches the Rfam family "Bacterial small subunit ribosomal RNA", at positions 72 to 422 of the family's 1533-position model. The record is from RNAcentral.
AAGGGGAGCAAUCCCUGAGUAAAGUGGCGACCGGGUGAGUAACACGUGACUAACCUACCCUCGAGUGUGGAAUAACAUCGGGAAACCGAUGCUAAUACCGCAUAACAUCGCAAGAUCAAAGGAGCAAUCCGCUUGAGGAGGGGGUCGCGGCUGAUUAGCUAGUUGGCGGAGUAACGGCCCACCAAGGCGAAGAUCGGUAGCCGGCCUGAGAGGGCGCACGGCCACACUGGAACUGAAACACGGUCCAGACUCCUACGGGAGGCAGCAGUGGGGAAUUUUGCGCAAUGGGGGAAACCCUGACGCAGCAACGCCGCGUGGAGGAUGAAGCCCCUUGGG